Molecule: RNase P RNA, 345 nt
Filed under: Bacteroidota bacterium
Lineage: Bacteria; Pseudomonadati; Bacteroidota
Description: Bacteroidetes bacterium (marine metagenome) RNase P RNA component class A
Rfam family: Bacterial RNase P class A
About the family: Ribonuclease P (RNase P) is a ubiquitous endoribonuclease, found in archaea, bacteria and eukarya as well as chloroplasts and mitochondria.
Source: RNAcentral
CGAGGCGGCCAGGUGAUCGCCCCCUAUUCGCCCUACGGUGGACGGGGGGAGGAAAGUCCGAACACCACAGGGUAGGACGCCCGCAAGGGGCGCCGUGAGGCGACGGAAAGUGCCACAGAAAACAAACCGCCCCUUAGGGGGUAAGGGUGAAAAGGUGGGGUAAGAGCCCACCGCUUCGGGUGGUAACACCUGAAGGCACGGUAAACCCCGUCCGGUGCAAGGCCAAAUAGGCGAGGAAUCCCGAUUCGUCGGGAGUGAAGUGACCCGCUUCAUUCGACUCGCGGGUAGGCCGCAUAGAUAAAUGAUCACCCACGACAGAAUUCGGCUUAUCGGCCGCCUCUUCUU